GAGCUAACGCGUUAAAUCGACCGCCUGGGGAGUACGGCCGCAAGGUUAAAACUCAAAUGAAUUGACGGGGGCCCGCACAAGCGGUGGAGCAUGUGGUUUAAUUCGAUGCAACGCGAAGAACCUUACCUGGUCUUGACAUCCACAGAACUUUCCAGAGAUGGAUUGGUGCCUUCGGGAACUGUGAGACAGGUGCUGCAUGGCUGUCGUCAGCUCGUGUUGUGAAAUGUUGGGUUAAGUCCCGCAACGAGCGCAACCC
RNAcentral lists this ribosomal RNA (256 nucleotides) under Klebsiella pneumoniae. RNAcentral describes it as "partial 16S ribosomal RNA". It matches the Rfam family "Bacterial small subunit ribosomal RNA", at positions 848 to 1104 of the family's 1533-position model. The record is from RNAcentral. RNAcentral also lists the same sequence under 1 other name. Lineage: Bacteria; Pseudomonadati; Pseudomonadota; Gammaproteobacteria; Enterobacterales; Enterobacteriaceae.